AUGAAUUCCUUGUCGCGGAAUGCCGCCCUAGUCUCUCCUUGCUGCUUCCCCACCGGCAUCAGGAGGAACCUCCAGAGCAUUCCUGACACCAUCGAUGGUAUCCUGGAAGAGAUCAUCGACCACAGAGAGCAAAUCCUCAAGAGUGGCAGGUCAACCGCGUCUAAGAAGAACUUGGUGAAAGUUCUCCUUGGCCUCCAUCACCCGCUCAACUGUCAAAGCAGUUAUCUACUACUACUGCUGCUGCUGCUAUUGCUACCACUGAUACUAUUGCUGCAGUACAAUUUUAGUAGUAAUACAAUAUUCCAUAAGAUUUUUACGCCUCAGUAUUCAUUUAGAUUAUUUAAAAAAAAAAUUUCAUGCCUCAACACUUGUCUAUACAAAACAUAUAUGCGAGUAAAUUGCAAAAAACCACCACAGUUGAGGACGCUAAAUCAAAAAAUCACCACCUUUCGAGUUUUUUUAUCAAAAAACCGCCAAAAUUGUGCUGACAGUUUUCAGAAAACACUGAUUGACUAA
RNAcentral lists this ribosomal RNA (516 nucleotides) under Triticum aestivum (bread wheat). Its description in RNAcentral is "partial small subunit ribosomal RNA". Lineage: Eukaryota; Viridiplantae; Streptophyta; Magnoliopsida; Poales; Poaceae. The record is from RNAcentral.